UGACGUUUAUACAUUAGGAAGUCCUCUAUAAGAAAAAUGGCUUCAAAUUACAGUAGACACAAAGUUUGGAAGGAGCCGUACCUGAGAGUUCUGCGCUGAAGCUCCAUCAGCUCCAGUAAACCAGCCUCAGCUUCUGGCACAGAUCCCGGCAACACAGGGCAGAGGGUGCGAUGAGGAGGGAGGGGGGAGACUAACGGGCAAAAGCCAUGCCAGCCUGCCUUGGGACUUCCCCCAGUUAGCUGACAGGAAGGUGGACCUCCUGCAGUCAGCUGACAAUCCAGCAAUAUCUGUCCACCAGCGUGGUAUCAGCCAUUUUUCAAAUAUCCCAAAUCAGCUGAUAUUUGAUCAUCUUAUUAGGCAAAACAACAGGAGAGAUGGCCAACUUAGUGGAGCUGAUCUACCGCACGCCUUCAAAGAGACUGGGUUUCACCCUUUGCUUCCUUUACUACAUUCAGGCAAAUAUGUAGUAACGCUAUCGGGAUACUCAAUCAAAAUAUGAGAAGAAAACACUUAAUGGAGGGACGACCCAGGG
RNAcentral lists this long non-coding RNA (532 nucleotides) under Chinchilla lanigera (long-tailed chinchilla). RNAcentral's name for it is "lncRNA (ENSCLAG00000026423.1)". Lineage: Eukaryota; Metazoa; Chordata; Mammalia; Rodentia; Chinchillidae. The record is from RNAcentral.